Python bivittatus (Burmese python) is the source of this 4646-nucleotide non-coding RNA. NCBI's taxonomy places the organism in Eukaryota, Metazoa, Chordata, Lepidosauria, Squamata, Pythonidae. The record is from RefSeq and is a predicted model, not a curated record.
GUCAUGGCAACUGGACUUCUUUCCUUUUUGGUUAAAGACGUUUCGCUACUUGUCCAAGCAGCUUCUUCAGCUAAGUUCUGAACUUAGUGAAGGGAUCAGGUGGCCAUGCAACACUGCUGCUGCUAGAUGUUCUUUUAAGUAAAGAAGAGAGAAUAGAUCAGCCAACCACUGAAGAUAAGUGAUAUUUACUACCUCCUCCCACCCCCAAGCAUUUCUCAUGGAAUUUGGUUAUUUCUUAUGAAAAGAAGAAGUUUUAACUCACUACAAACUCCAGGACUUUUUCCACAUUGUGAUAUCCUGCCUUCAGAGAAUCUUCAGUGUAUGCCUUCCAUUUCAUUUUGAUGAAAAAAGUUAUCAAGUUUUGAAGUGGUGGGGAGGAGGAAGAGAAGAGAAACAACUCAUGCGGAGAAAAGGAAGUAUGUUUAAAACAUUAGAACGUAAGAGGUUUCUUAGCUCAGCUUAGAGAUCCAUCUGUUGCAUUCUCCUGUUUCCUUGUAUGGCUGGACUCUACUGAGUUCUCCCCUUUCUCCUCUACUUGUUGGGUUUAUUGCUGCUGUGGCAGGCGUGUGCUGUCAGGGCAUUCCUGACACCAUGAAAUCCUCUGAUUCCUACUUGUUGAUGCCUCAGUGCUGGAUAAAGAACUGGGUUCUAGAAAAGGACCAGGGGCUCCAGAGGAUUCAAUGGUGCUAGGACUGGCUUGGCUUAUUACUUAAUGUUACAUGCCCCAAAAACUGCAGACUAGGCAGAUGUAAAUGAAAUAUGCAUAUGCUAGAUUUACAUAUGCAGAUUUUGAAACAAUUUCUAGUAAUUUAAGUUGACAUGCAAUCAACUUUAGUUGGGGAAAGCUGAUGGGAUAAGUACCUCACCAUUUAUGGGCUACUCUUUCUUCUUACAAUUGUUGAUCUUUAAAUGGGAGAGGCCUCCAAAUAGGGAACUGUCCUCUGUAAAUGAGAGCAUAUGGGCACUCUGGAGAGACAAUUAGACUCAUUGGCUUUUUAAUCAUUUAUUUAUUCAAAAAGGUACAGACUCAAGCUGAGCUUGAUUUCUGGUGACUUUGUGAACAUAUCCAGUUAGUUUUCUUGCAAGACAUACCAAAUUGGGGUGCUAUCACUUUUUUUUCCAACUUCCCAAGCUGUUUUUUUUUUUUUUUAAUUUCUUAGAGGUUUGUCAUCCAAGUACUAACCAGGUCCAAUGCUAUUUAGCUUCCAAGCUCAGAGUCAGCUAUAUGCUGCUACCUCUUGAGACUUUAUUCAGUCUCUUCAGUAUUUGACAUGUAUGUGUACCUGCAUAAAAUUAAACGAAGCCAAAUUGAACUUUAUAGAUUGAACUAUAUUUAGAAAAUUCAGAACAAAACAGUCUAUCUUCUAAAUAUAAUUCAAAAUGGACAGGCAUAUAUUUAGAAAUAAUUAUAAAGCUGUGAUUAAAGCUUGUUUGAAUCACAGUGUUUAAAUAUCUGUACAAUGCUUUCAAUUAUUUCUAUUCAGGUGGAUUUUGUUGGUUACACAAGUCCCCCUCCCAUCCUGCUUUUCCAUUAACCUGAAAGUCAGAAUGUUCUACAGCUGUAGCUAUAGCUAACCCUGGCAUGUUGUCAGAGAAGAAAGGGGAGCAGGAGAAAAACCCAGGCAGAUCCAACACUGAGGAAUCAGAUCCUAACAUCAAGUGAUGAGGCUAAAUAGGAUCUUCCUGAUCCUGACACCUUCUCCAAACACCAUCUCUACCUUCUGGCCCUCCAUCCUAAAACAGCAGCAUUCAUGAAGACUGGGAAGCCUUGAGAUUUGAAUAAUUUCCAUGAUUGCUCAGUCUUAUGUAUCCUAUGCCUGGAGGUCACCUGCUUUCCACCUUCUUCAGUUGCUGAUAAGAAACUUUGGCUUAUCUUGGACAGGAAAGGGGCUAUGGCUCUGCUUUCUAAUUUUUCCAAUUUUAACCAAUUCUCAACCAAUUUAUGAUCUUGGACUAUUAAUGACUUUGAUACACAUCUCUGUGGGCCAGAACAAGUUAGGGGAAAGUUUCAAUUUUGGUUUAAGUUAAUUGAUUUUCAGUCUUUUUCUCCUACAAUACAUGUUUCUACAUUGGUUUCUGUUUCAGAUUAAAAAUACAUGCCAAAAACGUGUAGAUUCAUGUGCACUCCUCCUACUAUAGACACUUUGGAACAAUUUUCACUAACAGACAUACUUCGUAUGCAUUUUAAAGUUGUGAACUGCAUUGCAAUGGGCUUGAGCAUGCAGUAGCAUAUUGAAGGAGUGGAAAAGUUAGAUUUGGCUCCAUAGAUUGACCUCUGAAGGCUAGAUGAUGUCAGGGAGUAGAGCCCCAAAGAAAGGAAGCCAUGGUCCCUGAGGCAGUGCUCAGUUCCUAGGACAAUUUUGGAUGAUCAGCCCCUGCCUUCUCCAUUAAGAGUCCCAUCUAGUGCUUAGAAAGGCUCCCUAAUUGGAACCAAGCUGAUUGCUCAGAAAGGUUCUCUUUCUGACCUCAUCAUUGAUCAGCAGUUGAUUGGAGCUGCUGAGUUGAAGAAGGCUCCUUUUUUUUUCCCCAUCUGAGUGUAGAGAAAGAGAAAGGAGAUGAUAGGGUGAAGCAGCAUCCUGAGGCCAUAGCCUGGCAUAUACAUCUGGGAAGUGCACCUUUUUCUCCCAUGUUUGCAACAGUUCCAUCACAUUUGACAGAGAGAAGGCAAGGCAAAGCAGCUGCCUUUCCUAAGCCUCUGUUUGUCCUGUUGGUUUCUUCAUUCAGAAUCUGUUGUGUUUCCUAUUUUGAAAGUUUUUAAAAAUGAAAUUAUGUGAGGGAAAUAAAGUAUGCUAGCUCCAGAUCUAGUGAACUUCUUUCUCUGCACAGUGAUAGAAUGGAACAGCUUUGAAUCUUGUGGGUAGAUAACCACUCCCAAUGUUCCUCUUUUCCACCCCAAUAUCAGAGUUUUAAUAGCAGAGGAAUACCAGCCAUAGAUAUUUUAAGUCAUCCAGAGGAGUUCUGUGAGGUUGACUUAUCUUCUUCCAAGGUCAUCACUGGAGGUCUGAAAAAUCCUAUGGAAUAUGCCCUCCCAAGACCAUUGCAUUGCAUUUUUUCCCAUAAUAAACUAUGUCUUAGAAUGAGUAAAAUGCUCUUUUCUUUUGAUCUCUUUCUCAUUGGCACUCUUUUUCAUGAUGUUUUCUCUGAAUAAAUCUGGGUUUUUGGGGUCUCUCUAUAUGGAUUACCAUAAUAAGUUGUUCUUGAUAAAAAAUAACAUUUUCAGCAUAUUGCCUCUUCCUGGAGCAGGCCUUGCUAACUAGCAGCUAUGAUAUAUGUGGGUCUAAUUACCCACAGAUUGCUCUAUGUUUAUUGCUAGCUGCUUCCCCCUCCCUCCCGGCCUAAGCAUCCUGGGCAAAAUGCCUUCUUCAGUCAAAGUCAUCAACUUUUCAUGGAUUUCCUCUAUCAGUUGUAGAAGGAAGAAUGUGCAUUAUGCACAGUUUUGGCUGAAAAGCUGUAGGCAGCAAGGAUUGCAUUGUUGCUCUAUUAGCUGGUUGCUUCCUUUUCUUAUAUAACAAGAGUCUUUAUUAAAUCAUUCCUCUGUAACUGUAUUGUGGCUUAAUAUCCCCAAUUUGUAAUAUUUUAAGAAUUGCAUCUGCCCUCAGGGACCUUCAUGAAAAUUAUAUAAAUGGGGACAUUUCCCCCCCCUCCACUCUUGAGCAAAUAUGCAUUUUCUAUUUUACUCGCACCUCAAAAGCCCUUUUAUUUGCCUCUCUGAUUUCCAUUCUCCCACCUACUAUCUCCAAAUAUAUACCAAAUAUUCUAAAAAAACAUUAUGUUAUGUUGGAUUGAAUAACAAGACACUAAAAAAUGGAAUCUUGGUGACAGUUGUGUUUUGUAAAACAUUCUGAGCUGUGCUUUCAAGGUUUACGAUAUUUUUAGAGCCUUUCAACUGAUUUAUUGAGCCAAAUUCAAUUUGAGAGUCAUUACUUUUGACAAAACUACAAUUUUUGCUAUAACUUAUCUUUUCCUCUUUGAGACUGAAGUCUCAGUCCUUCACAGAGCUAGAUCAUCCAAAGACUUCAAUGGUGGUUUUAUCUGCACUGGCUUACUGGUUGGUUUAUUAGAUAAAUUCACUUUAUGUUCUACAGGACCGGUUGUACAGUAAUAAUGUGAUCUGCUGUACUGAGGAGACAGAUAUAAAUCUUCUUCGGGCAUUUGUAAAAAGAAUGCAUGUAGGGUGGUGAAGAUGUAAGCUAUAUCAUCCUCAAUUUCCCUCUGUUGACUGAUGGGAUGUAACUUUAUUUGGCAAGCACUGUUGGAACUUAGGGUGUAUUUGGUUGGCCAAGCAUUGUUGGAACUCACCAUGAAACUGGGAACUCGCCCUAAUCAGGUUCUUGAUCCCAUGGGAGGUUGUAAUUACCUUCAGCUUACCAACUGCCACUCCUCUUUGGAAGAGUCCUUUUCUGAAGAACAGCAGGAAUUGCAGGUCCCUACCCAGGAAGACCCUGCAGGCUUACACCUCUUUGAAGAUGAGCUAUGCAGUAACGUGGAAAACACAACAGAUGAAAAUGAGUUUGCAAAGCCACUCCAGGCCCUAAAGAGAGACAGUUCUUAGAGGAACAGGAUUCCUGCCUACUUGCCAUACAGGCUGUAGAAAGUAAGGAAGAUGAUCUUGACAGAGAUAGACAAGAACCUAGGCAAAAGGGGCU